Microtus ochrogaster (prairie vole) is the source of this 621-nucleotide non-coding RNA. Lineage: Eukaryota; Metazoa; Chordata; Mammalia; Rodentia; Cricetidae. The record is from the annotation of a RefSeq genome assembly.
AUGGCGGGAAGCAGCCCUGCUGCUCCUCAUCUCAAAAAUGAGACCAAGUCUGCCACUGAGGUGGUCCGCACAGGCAAGCGCAACGUGAGCCCCAGAGCACUAGUGGCCGCGCGCUCGGGGGAGGGUGCCCGGCGCUGGCGGCUAAUGAGCUGCACGGUGCUGGCGCUGGGCCAGGGAAAGCACGCAGGGAGAGGCGAGCAGAGUCGGCGGGUUGCGACCAAUCUCACUCACAGGUCACACCCUGUGCUGGAAUCAGCUUCAGACUCAUCACACACAGACAUGGUGAUCUCCAUACCUCUCCUGGGGUUGCUGUUGCUCUGGCUUUCAGGUGCCAGAUGUGACAUCCAGAUGACCCAGUCUCCAGACUCACUUCCUGUGUCUCUGGGAGACACUGUCACCAUGACAUGCCAGGCCAGUCAAAAUAUUUACAGUAGUUUAGCAUGGUAUCAGCAGAAACCAGGGAAUCCUCCCAAGCUCCUGAUCUGUGAAGCAAAAGGCUUGGCAGAUGGGGUCCCAAAGAGGUUCAGUGGCAGUGGAUCUGGCACACAGUAUUCUUUCAAGAUCAGUGGCCUGAAGUCUGAAGAUGUUGCAACAUAUUACUGUCAACAGUAUAGCAGUUAA